AAGACUAUACUUUCAGGGAUCAUUUCUAUAGUUUGUUACUAUUUAUUUGCUUCUAGACAGAGGCGGAGCAAGACAG
Molecule: small nucleolar RNA, 76 nt
Filed under: Erinaceus europaeus (western European hedgehog)
Lineage: Eukaryota; Metazoa; Chordata; Mammalia; Eulipotyphla; Erinaceidae
Description: Small nucleolar RNA U3
Rfam family: Small nucleolar RNA U3
About the family: Small nucleolar RNAs (snoRNAs) are involved in the processing and modification of rRNA in the nucleolus. There are two main classes of snoRNAs: the box C/D class, and the box H/ACA class.
Source: Rfam by way of RNAcentral